This 468-nucleotide ribosomal RNA is filed under the name uncultured bacterium. Its description in RNAcentral is "partial 16S ribosomal RNA". It matches the Rfam family "Bacterial small subunit ribosomal RNA", at positions 28 to 507 of the family's 1533-position model. The record is from RNAcentral.
GACGAACGCUGGCGGCGUGCUUAACACAUGCAAGUCGAACGGAAAGGCCCUGCUUUGGUGGGGUGCUCGAGUGGCGACCGGGUGAGUAACACGUGAGUAACCUGCCCUUGCCUUUGGGAUAACUUCAGGAAACUGGGGCUAAUACCGGAUAGGAGCUCCUGCUGCAUGGUGGGGGUGGGAAAGUUUCGGCGGUUGGGGAUGGACUCGCGGCUUAUCAGCUUGUUGGUGGGGUAGUGGCUUACCAAGGCUUUGACGGGUAGCCGGCCUGGGAGGGUGACCGGCCACAUUGGGACUGAGAUACGGCACAGACUCCUACGGGAGGCAGCAGUGGGGAAUAUUGCACAAUGGGCGGAAGCCUGAUGCAGCAACGCCGCGUGCGGGAUGACGGCCUUCGGGUUGUAAACCGCUUUCGCCUGUGACGAAGCGUGAGUGACGGUAAUGGGUAAAGAAGCACCGGCUAACUACGUG